UGGACCUGGGUAAUAAUAGUUAUGUUCUUGAAACCCAAAGAAUUUGGCGGUAUUUUAUUCUUUUUUAGAGGAACCUGUCCUAUAAUUGAUAAUCCACGAUAAAGAAACACUUACUUUUGUAUUCAUUUUGUAUACCUCCGUCAUCAGAGUAUCUUUUUAGAGUUAAUAUUCUAAUCUUACAAAAUAUAAUAUGUCAGGUCAAGGUGCAAUUUAUAGGUAAGCAGAAGAUGGGUUACAAUAAAUUUAUUUAUAUGAAUUACUAUUUUUAUUAUUAGUAUGAAAGUGGAUUUAAAAGUAAAAUUAUUUAUUUAAUAUUUUGAUUUUAGCUCUAAAAUAUGUACACAUCGCCCGUCGCUCUUAUUUUAAAAUAAGAUAAGUCGUAACAUAGUAGACGUACCGGAAGGUGUGCCUAGUAA
RNAcentral lists this ribosomal RNA (416 nucleotides) under Uracis fastigiata. RNAcentral's name for it is "partial 12S ribosomal RNA". The record is from RNAcentral. Lineage: Eukaryota; Metazoa; Arthropoda; Insecta; Odonata; Libellulidae.